RNAcentral lists this ribosomal RNA (278 nucleotides) under uncultured Staphylococcus sp. Its description in RNAcentral is "partial 16S ribosomal RNA". It matches the Rfam family "Bacterial small subunit ribosomal RNA", at positions 83 to 354 of the family's 1533-position model. The record is from RNAcentral. Lineage: Bacteria; Bacillati; Bacillota; Bacilli; Caryophanales; Staphylococcaceae.
CCUUUGACGUUAGCGGCGGACGGGUGGGUAACACGUGGGUAACCUACCUAUAAGACUGGGAUAACUUCGGGAAACCGGAGCUAAUACCGGAUAAUAUUUCGAACCGCAUGGUUCAUAGUGAAAGAUGGUUUUGCUAUCACUUAUANAUGGACCCGCGCCGUAUUAGCUAGUUGGUAAGGUAACGGCUUACCAAGGCUACGAUACGUAGCCGACCUGAGAGGGUGAUCGGCCACACUGGAACUGAGACACGGUCCAGACUCCUACGGGAGGCAGCAGGA